GUUGCGGUGGCCGAGUGGUUAAGGCGUUGGACUCGAAAUCCAAUGGGAUCUUCCCGCGCAGGUUCGAAUCCUGCCCGCAACG
Molecule: non-coding RNA, 82 nt
Organism: Nematostella vectensis (starlet sea anemone)
Lineage: Eukaryota; Metazoa; Cnidaria; Anthozoa; Actiniaria; Edwardsiidae
Source: Rfam